CCAUGCCGCGUGAGUGAUGAAGGCCUUAGGGUUGUAAAGCUCUUUCAGCUGGGAAGAUAAUGACGGUACCAGCAGAAGAAGCCCCGGCUAACUCCGUGCCAGCAGCCGCGGUAAUACGGAGGGGGCUAGCGUUGUUCGGAAUUACUGGGCGUAAAGCGCACGUAGGCGGACUGGAAAGUCAGAGGUGAAAUCCCAGGGCUCAACCUUGGAACUGCCUUUGAAACUAUCAGUCUGGAGUUCGAGAGAGGUGAGUGGAAUUCCGAGUGUAGAGGUGAAAUUCGUAGAUAUUCGGAGGAACACCAGUGGCGAAGGCGGCUCACUGGCUUCGAUACUGACGCUGAGGUGCGAAAGCGUGGGGAGCAAACAGGAUUAG
This 373-nucleotide ribosomal RNA is filed under the name Paracoccus sp. 18III/A01/070. RNAcentral's name for it is "bacterial SSU rRNA". It matches the Rfam family "Bacterial small subunit ribosomal RNA", at positions 392 to 781 of the family's 1533-position model. The record is from RNAcentral. Lineage: Bacteria; Pseudomonadati; Pseudomonadota; Alphaproteobacteria; Rhodobacterales; Paracoccaceae.